Molecule: ribosomal RNA, 254 nt
Filed under: uncultured bacterium
Lineage: Bacteria
Description: partial 16S ribosomal RNA
Rfam family: Bacterial small subunit ribosomal RNA
Source: RNAcentral
UACAGAGAGAAGCAAUNCGGUGACGCAAAGCGGAACUUGAAAGCCUGUCUCAGUUCGGAUUGGAGUCUGCAACUCGACUCCAUGAAGCUGGAUUCGCUAGUAAUCGCGCAUCAGCCAUGGCGCGGUGAAUACGUUCCCGGGCCUUGUACACACCGCCCGUCAAGCCAUGGGAGCCGGGGGUACCUGAAGUGCGUAACCGCGAGGAUCGCCCUAGGGUAAAACUGGUGACUGGGGCUAAGUCGUAACAAGGUAGC